This 1659-nucleotide ribosomal RNA is filed under the name Paramunida tenera. RNAcentral describes it as "partial 28S ribosomal RNA". It matches the Rfam family "Eukaryotic large subunit ribosomal RNA", at positions 109 to 1138 of the family's 3401-position model. Lineage: Eukaryota; Metazoa; Arthropoda; Malacostraca; Decapoda; Munididae. The record is from RNAcentral.
CUUCGCUUCAUUUCAUAAUGUCUCGAGGGGUGUUGCGUUUCAGAGGGUCUAUGCCACCAUCUACCACUGCCUAAGUUUCCGCUUGAAAGUGUCUUUGACCAUGGAGGGUGACAGUCCCGUAAGGCAGCUUCCCGUGAGGGUGAGGUGUGAUGGUGGCGAAGGGCCUCUCUGUAGAGUCAGGUUGCUUAAUAUUGCAACCUAAAGUAGGUGGUAAACUCCAUCUAAGGCUAAAUAUUCCCACGAGACCGAUAGCGAACAAGUACCGUGAGGGAAAGUUGAAAAGGACUUUGAAGAGAGAGUUCAAUAGUACGUGAAACCGUUAAGAGCCUAAACGGAUGGGACCAAUGCAGAUCGAACUGAGGGGAUUCAGCUCGCCGGCAUCAUCUCAUUAUAAGGUUGAAAGCAGAAUUGUGAAGUGACCUGAGCCAUGGAGUGAGCAGCAGAAGUAAAUUUUGUUCUGUGUUGUAAUAUAUCCUAUCAGGCAUGCCUUAUAAUCGAUCGAUGUUGUUGGUUGGCGUAUUUCGCCUCUAAAGUAGAUCACUGCGACCUGUUGUGGGGAAGUCGAAGGCCCGGGUGGAUUGGUAGCCUUAUGCCAAUUACGGUAUUGUGAUCCUUGGCAACAAUCUGAACAAGUGAGCCUUGGUGAGCAGCUGUAUGUCGGUGUUUUGUGAAACCUCCGGUGACAUAUCCUAACUGCCCCACGAUAGUUGUUAGUGGAGCCUUUCCCACGGGAUUGGCUCUCGCAGUGUGUGCAAAGAGGGCCAGGAACCAACCGACCCGUCUUGAAACACGGACCAAGGAGUCUAACAUGUAUGCGAGUCUAAGGGUAUUACUAAACCCAUGGGCGAAAUGAAGGUGAUUGAGAAUUCACACCUGGUGCAUUGUAAUGAGGUGCCCAACAGGACUGAUCCCGAGGGCUGGUACCUAGUGCUCUACGAUCAGGAAAUUUAGUAAGUAGGUGAGACCCUUUCCCUGCCGAACAUAUUUCCUGGUUGGAUUGACGUGGUUAAGGUCUGAGAGUCUGUUAAAUCAGAGGAGGCGUAAGUCUGGGACAUGACCUAAGCUUAAAUGCAAAAGACUGAUAGUUGUAUAUAGUGGCGUGCAUCAUAUGCUCCCCCGGCAAUAUGCUAUUUCCUUGCGGUUUAUAUAACCAUUUGCCAAAAGCUUGUUGGUUAUGGCUGUAGGGUGGUGUACGUGUACGGGUCUUCAGUUGGGCAAUAUUUGGUGGCCAUGAAAACAGAGAGACGUCUGAGGACAUGUACCUUGAGCAUCCAUGUUAGUACCCGAAAGAUGGUGAACUAUGCCUGGCCAGGAUGAAGCCAGAGGAAACUCUGGUGGAGGUCCGAAGCAAUUCUGACGUGCAAAUCGAUUGUCAGAGCUGGGUAUAGGGGCGAAAGACUAAUCGAACUAUCUAGUAGCUGGUUCCCUCCGAAGUUUCCCUCAGGAUAGCUGGUACUCAUUGAAGAAUUUCAUCUGGUAAAGAGAAUGAUUAGAGGUGAUGGGGACGAAAUGUCCUCAACCUAUUCUCAAACUUUAAAUGGGUGAGAAUGGCCAAGCUUUCUUAAAACAUGAGAGUUGGAUGCAUUCAGGCAUGUUUGCUGAAAACCUUAUGAAAAUGAAGCUUUGGCCUUGGAAUCAGAGUACCAAGUGGCCACUUUU